This is a non-coding RNA of Prunus avium (sweet cherry), 1043 nucleotides long. Lineage: Eukaryota; Viridiplantae; Streptophyta; Magnoliopsida; Rosales; Rosaceae. The record is from RefSeq and is a predicted model, not a curated record.
UGACCGUCCAUAUUUGUUGGCCAACAUUAUUCGAGAAUCAAAGAUAGAGUCGCUGCAAGCAAAGGUGUUUGAUAUUGAGAGUAAAAUAACUAAAUGAUACGGUCAAUUUGUCUAAAAAUUCAUCAAUCUGACCAUCAAUUUGAGUUAUUUUACUCUCAAUAUCAAACACCUUUGCUUGCAUAGCCUUUAUCUUUGAUUCUCAAACAAUGUUGACCAACAAAUCUGGAUGGUCACAUCGGAAGUGACCGAACUUGUGUUUGUACUCAGCACGUUCAGAUUUCACAAAACCCUAGUAAUAAAAUGGGGUUAAAAUCCUACAAAUUCUUAAUUAAAAUUUCCAAAAAAAAAUUCAAAUCUUACAUGUUGUUCAAGUUCUCUGUCAAAAUCAAAGUAUGCCAAAUCCCCAAAGUGGCCAUUACUGAUGACCUUUUUCAGACUUGAUUCGUUAGCUAUGAUGAUAGUGUCAUCCGUCUUCCUUGUCAUGGCUCCAAAGACAACAUAGAGACUUUGGACUAAGCCGGCCCCCAUUGCUGGCCAAUGCUUGAAACCGACCCUUAAUGAUUGCCCAAGCUUCAAUCCGAACAGAAUUGCCGACAAUGGAAUUCAGACAUCUCAUGAUGCUAAACGUGUUGCUGGAUCUGCAAAGAUAUCAGAGUUGAGCAACAGGAACAGAACAUUGUCCUCCAAUACUCUUAUGAGCUCUGAGCAGGAAAUUGAAUGCAGCGGGGCUUCCAUGAAGCUUGUAUCUGGAUUUCUUAAGCAGAAGCAAUUCGAGGAGGACAUUCAAUGCAGAAACAGGGUUAAACAAGUUUGGGUCCCUUCAACGACAAUAACACAACUGGCUGGUAUUAGUAGCAGCGGUAAUGGUGAUGGCAGUAUUGAUCAUAAACUUCAUUUUACUGUAUUUGAGGAGCCUCUAAAUGGACGUUUUGUAGUUGAGUACCUAGGUAUGUUCGGAGGAUGUGUGCAGAUGUGUGACUUUAAGGCAGCUACCAAUACUCUGUAUGUUUGGGAGUUGAAAGAACAAGAUCAUGAUCGGAGGG